CCUACGGGUGGCAGCAGUGGGGAAUAUUGGGCAAUGGGCGCAAGCCUGACCCAGCAAUGCCGCGUGAAGGAAGAAGGCUUUCGGGUUGUAAACUUCUUUUCUCAGGGACGAAGCAAGUGCCGGUACCUGAGGAAUAAACCACGGCUAACUACGUGCCAGCAGCCGCGGUAAUACGUAGGUGGCAAGCGUUAUCCGGAUUUGCUGGUUGUAAAGGGCGUGUAGGCGGGGACGCAAGUCAGAUGUGAAAACCACGGGCUCAACAUGUGGCCGGCAUUUGAAACUGUGUUUCUUGAGUACUGGAGAGGCAGACGGAAUGAGUAGUGUAGCGGUGAAAUGCGUAGAUAUUAGGAGGAACACCAGUGGCGAAGGCGGUCUGCUGGACAGCAACUGACGCUGAGGCGCGAAAGCGUGGGGAGCAAACAGGAUUAGAUACCCGAGUAGUC
Molecule: ribosomal RNA, 443 nt
Filed under: uncultured bacterium
Lineage: Bacteria
Description: partial 16S ribosomal RNA
Rfam family: Bacterial small subunit ribosomal RNA
Source: RNAcentral